Molecule: unclassified non-coding RNA, 200 nt
Filed under: soil metagenome
Description: partial contains internal transcribed spacer 2 and large subunit ribosomal RNA
Source: RNAcentral
CCUGUCCGAGCGUCAUUUCAACCCUCAAGCACCGCUUGGUCUUGGGCGCGGUCCAGCGACCCGCCCGUAACGCCUCUGGCGGCACCGUCCGGGUCUGAGCGCAGCGAGAUUUAUUCACGCGCUCGGGGACGCGGCGGCGCUGCCACCUAACGCACCGAGAGUUUGACCUCGGAUCAGGUGGGGAUACCCGCUGAACUUAA